Non-coding RNA from Anas platyrhynchos (mallard), 1408 nucleotides. The record is from RefSeq and is a predicted model, not a curated record. NCBI's taxonomy places the organism in Eukaryota, Metazoa, Chordata, Aves, Anseriformes, Anatidae.
UCCACCCUCAAGCCAGCUGAUUCCUUUCUGAUAUCACUGGUGAAGGAAAAAUAGCAGGUAGCACUGAUAGCAGCUGCUACCUGUAUGCCUGUGACUAGGCAGGAGAGAAUAUGAAGCAUGCAUCCACAGCUGUUUCCAAAUCGACCUGCCACAUGACUGCCAUUAGAUGCACAGCACGAUGGCAACGCUGCCCUGUGGCAUGUAGAAAAGGAAAUAAUGAAAUCAUGCCUCAUGUGGGAGCUUGCAGAGCUGUUGAAGAGGGAUCUUCCCCUUCUGGCAUGUGACCGCUGGUGUGACUGAAUCACAAAUGUCUGAGCUAAAAGGAAGAGCUUCUGCUGAAGCUGACCCUCAGCUGCAAGCAGUGCGUGCCUCUCUGGCUGCAGUACGCACGUGGUCUUGCCAUUAGGUGGGACUGUGAAUGAGCAUAGGCUGCUUACUCUCUCUGCAUGAGACAGCUUCUUCCAGGCUUCAGAGGCAGCUGAAUGUAAGAACUUUCACUGUCUAUGGAACCCUACUAGGUAAGGACUCCAUGACUCAGACUUAAUGAGCUGUUCCGUGGAUGAUACAUGAGUCAGAAAAAAACCCACUGCAUUCUCCCCUAGAUGCAUCUCUCCCAACAGUAACAGCUACAGACGUCCUGAGACUUUCAAAAGAGAUGUGUAACAGCAUUAUCCUGAACAAGCUUCACUACGGAUAAUUGCUCCGUGUUGGUCCGCACUGUGCCUCUCCUUGCCUGGACUUUGCAAUGCGUACCCAUGUAGAACCAAAGCUGUCCCUGUGGUACCCGUCCUCCCCGUGAGACAGAAAAGCCCAUGUGCCAUCACAACUCUGGAGAGCAAGGCAGAAAGGAAGGUGAAAGAUGUAAACCGAGUGAUUUGUUGCUUUUCAGUGCAUCUUUUCUGCCGGCCUGCAUGUGUUCUGGGCUUCUAGCAGGAAUCUCCAUGAAUCUCCCUCAUUAACUCCAAUUUCUUCUUGGCAGCUCCUACUCCACUGUCAGAAAUGUCCUGGAUGAGAACUGCAAUGAUUGUUUGAAGGAUGUUGUAUUGACAGUUUUUAGAUCCUUAAUAUAAAUUAAUCCAGACUAAUUAACAUUAGAGGAAAGAGAUUAUUAGGGCCAGAAGAGGCUUCUGAAUACAUUUCUCUCCCUUGCACCACUAUGAAAACUACACCCCUGUGUACCAGUUAUGAAAACUACUUUUGGUUUCCACGAGGAUGUGGUCCAUGGAAGGGGACUCCUUGGUAGCCUGAUAUUCAAGGUGGGCCCAGUAGGCACUCUGAAAAGGGAGUUUCUUAUAAAGUUUCUCUAAAAUCAAAAAACCCAAAAUGACUAGUUGUUCAAAUAUUCUGACCAUAGUCUUUGAGUGGUGUGACUGAAAUCAUGAUACUGCAAAAGAGGAUUCUGGUAAAA